GACGAACGCUGGCGGCGUGCCUAAUACAUGCAAGUCGAGCGAAGUUUUUCUGGUGCUUGCACUAGGAAAACUUAGCGGCGAACGGGUGAGUAACACGUAAAGAACCUGCCUCAUAGACUGGGACAACUAUUGGAAACGAAAGCUAAUACCGGAUAACAGUAUUUCUCGCAUGAGAGAUAUUUAAAAGUUGGUUAUGCUAACACUAUGAGAUGGCUUUGCGGUGCAUUAGCUAGUUGGUGGGGUAAAGGCCCACCAAGGCGACGAUGCAUAGCCGACCUGAGAGGGUGAUCGGCCACACUGGGACUGAGACACGGCCCAGACUCCUACGGGAGGCAGCAGUAGGGAAUCUUCCGCAAUGGGCGAAAGCCUGACGGAGCAACGCCGCGUGAGUGAAGAAGGAUUUCGGUUCGUAAAGCUCUGUUGUUAGGGAAGAAUGGAUAUGUAGUAACUAUACAUGUAAGAGACGGUACCUAACCAGAAAGCCACGGCUAACUACGUG
This 499-nucleotide ribosomal RNA is filed under the name uncultured bacterium. RNAcentral describes it as "partial 16S ribosomal RNA". It matches the Rfam family "Bacterial small subunit ribosomal RNA", at positions 28 to 507 of the family's 1533-position model. The record is from RNAcentral.